UAACGAAUAUUGGGCAAUGGGCGAAAGCCUGACCCAGCAAUGCCGCGUGCAGGACGAAGUCCUUCGGGAUGUAAACUGCUGUCAGGGGUCCGCAAGCGAAGGGGUCCAACAGGCCCUGGAGUUGAGCAGCCCCAGAGGAAGCCUCGACUAACUCUGUGCCAGCAGUCGCGGUAAGACAGAGGAGGCAAGCGUUGUUCGGAAUCACUGGGCUUAAGGCGCGUGUAGGCGGCUUAGAAAGUGUCGUGUGAAAUCCCGCGGCUCAACCGCGGAACUGCACGGCAAACUACUUGGCUUGAGGUCGGUAGAGGUGCCUGGAACUCUAGGUGGAGCGGUGAAAUGCGUAGAUAUCUGGAGGAACACCGGUGGCGAAAGCGGCUUUCUGGCACGAUACUGACGCUGAGGCUCGAAAGCGUGGGGAGCAAACA
RNAcentral lists this ribosomal RNA (425 nucleotides) under uncultured prokaryote. RNAcentral describes it as "bacterial SSU rRNA". It matches the Rfam family "Bacterial small subunit ribosomal RNA", at positions 355 to 774 of the family's 1533-position model. The record is from RNAcentral.